AGCUUUUUUUCCAGUAAGUAUCAUUAAAGCUUCAAAUAGGACCUGAUAGUUCAUGCACAUUUGUUGGAUGGAUGUUGAUGAGAAGGAGUGAAUUUAAAGCCACAGUGACUUACUAAUUUUAUAUUAUUUUAUGUUGGAGGGCUGACUUCUUAUGACAUCUUCGUCUGUCUGCUGCAACUUACUGGUAUGCUCAGUUAUGUUUCCAGGUAGCCCAGGAUGCUAGUCUUUUGUUUUGUGCCCUUGGUCUGUUUUUUAUUCUUUUAGGCAAAUGUUUGAUUUCCAUCACUAUCCUCUGAUUAUGUGCCAUACAAACAACUGAGACAAUUGUCCUGGAGACAUUAUCUUUGGAGCAGAAGCUAUCUGGUUGCCACAGGGGCUCAGGUGUGGAGCACAUCACUGAGGUGUGAUGACAUCCCCAUAGAAAGAUGACCAAUAACAGUGGCAAUUGUGGAAAUACUUACCUUAUUUCAGUGUCCAUUCACUUAAAUUGAAGCAAUUGACUUGGACAGUAUACAAAUAAAGAAUGAAGGUGUAUACAGGGCCCUGUGGAAGCAGAGAAGUUCAUAAUACUACAAGCAAACACUUUCCUUUCACCUAAACCCUCAACUCCAUGAGCUGUUACUAUGGCAACUAUUAUGGUGGUCUGGGCUAUGGCUUUGGUGGCCUGGGCUGUGGUUAUGGCUACUAUCCAAGUCUGGGCUGUGGUUAUGAUCACUAUGGAUAUGGCCACUACCAUCCAUGCUACUAUGGAAGAUACUGGCCCUCAGGCUUCUGCUGAGAAACCUUGCACACCUCCUUGCAUGUGACUGAAGACUUUCAGCUAAUCUUCCUCUUGCAGAUUCUAUCAUCUGGACACUUCAUUCUACCAGUGUCUUUCUCCAAUUUAAUGAUGAAUGAAUCCUAGGUUACUUUGACAGACCUUCAGAUUUCAGCAUGCCAAAAUUUAUUUGAUUAAAGUCAUCUGAACUUGCAAUUCUAAUUUUUGGGUUGGAAAGACAUUUACAAUUUGGGUAACAAUUCUUCUUUUGGAUACCUUUUUUGGCAGGACUGUCAUUCCAAACUGUUCAUGUGAGCUAUGUCAAAAUUAAGUUUGCAUUAAACUUCUUUUGGCAU
Molecule: long non-coding RNA, 1113 nt
Organism: Manis pentadactyla (Chinese pangolin)
Lineage: Eukaryota; Metazoa; Chordata; Mammalia; Pholidota; Manidae
Exons: 4
Source: RefSeq, a predicted model, not a curated record